UUUCCCUCAGGAUAGCUGGCACUCGCUCGAACGAGUCUCAUCUGGUAAAGCGAAUGAUUAGAGGCCUUGGGGCCGAAACGACCUCAACCUAUUCUCAAACUUUAAAUGGGUGAGAUCUCUGGCUUGCUUGAACGUUGAAGCCACGAGAGAGAUUGAAUUUUCGAACGGAUCAGAGUGCCAAGUGGGCCAAUUUUGGUAAGCAGAACUGGCGCUGUGGGA
Molecule: ribosomal RNA, 219 nt
Filed under: Pseudidarnes sp. D2661
Lineage: Eukaryota; Metazoa; Arthropoda; Insecta; Hymenoptera; Pteromalidae
Description: partial 28S ribosomal RNA
Rfam family: Eukaryotic large subunit ribosomal RNA
Source: RNAcentral